GUCGCAUUAGCUCAAUCGGAUAGAGCUUACACCUGACCCAAAACAAGUACCCAUUCAGAGGGGCAUGUCCCAAGAAUGCCGAAAGUCAGGGUGGUGUGGUGCAGGUUCGAAUCCUGCAUGCGACA
Molecule: transfer RNA, 125 nt
Filed under: Pseudomonas brenneri
Lineage: Bacteria; Pseudomonadati; Pseudomonadota; Gammaproteobacteria; Pseudomonadales; Pseudomonadaceae
Description: tRNA-OTHER
Rfam family: tRNA
About the family: Transfer RNA (tRNA) molecules are approximately 80 nucleotides in length. Their secondary structure includes four short double-helical elements and three loops (D, anti-codon, and T loops).
Source: RNAcentral